Molecule: unclassified non-coding RNA, 366 nt
Filed under: Hevea brasiliensis (rubber tree)
Lineage: Eukaryota; Viridiplantae; Streptophyta; Magnoliopsida; Malpighiales; Euphorbiaceae
Source: RNAcentral
GCUUUCUAGGGAUUCAUUGUGAAUAUCUUGAUUUGUUGUGAGUAUGAUUAGAAUUACCCUGUUGGAUUUAAUUGUGAAAAACAGGAUUAGAAUUGCGCUGUUCUUGACAUAAAGUUAAAAUGGUUUUUCCAUUGUGAGAGUAUGAAUGCUUGGAAGAUCAAUCACAUACCAAAGGCUUGAGGAAAAGACUGUUAUUGUUCUGUUACAAACUUCUUUGAGCAUGGAUAGAUGACGGACUGUGUUAUUUGGCUUUCUUCUUCUUUGAUGAGCUUGCACUAUUUGUAUUUCAAAAAUUAUUACUUGUUUAUGGAAUUUGUGUUCUAAAAGUUCUACUAUUUUGCAGUUGUGGUCAAAGGCAAACUGGUU